Long non-coding RNA from Thunnus maccoyii (southern bluefin tuna), 531 nucleotides. RefSeq lists it as uncharacterized. The record is from RefSeq and is a predicted model, not a curated record. Lineage: Eukaryota; Metazoa; Chordata; Actinopteri; Scombriformes; Scombridae. The transcript is spliced from 3 exons.
CUAAUUCCAACCAUUUGAACUUGGCGACACAUGGUUCAUCAUAUCUGGUGUUUAUGUCUGCAGUGGUGUGGUGUUGUGUAGGAGCAGAGAGCAGACGAGUUUCCUCUGGGGAGCAGUACGACAUGUCAGGACACGCUCAGAUCCCGCAUGGCUGCAGCUGCUGCACGGCUGCAUGGCUGCAUGGCCGCAGCACUCGGUCAGUCUAAACAGGUGUUUAUCUCAGCACCUCUCCUCAUGUUGUCUGAAAAUGAAACUGUGAGACCGGUGUAGCAGAUCAGUGAGCAGAGCACUGGGCAUGCUCUGUUCUUUCAGAUAUGGACCAGUUCACCAUAAUGGGCAAAACGGCAUCCCAGUAUGAUGAAUGGGGACAGCUCUACCCUUAUCAUUGCCCUCACAGUGCACAUUUCCAGUGUGAACUGUGAGAGAGACUUCUCAACUAUGAAUAGGGCGAGACAGACCUGAGAUGCAUGUUACUGAGCAUCAGCGGGCGAGUUUCCUGUGAACGAGCCUCAGAACUCUUUAAAAAAACAA